CAGGAGGUUUAAUUACUGGUACUGGUACUGGUUUAAUGACUGGUCCUACUAUGCCGGUUUCCGGGAUUACCAUUAACUGCAACGGGUAUAUAUUCGAGAAUGGAAUUUUUAUAUAUGGCUCGUUUGGCGAAACACGUCGAGCAAUUUGUUAUGCUGGGUACCAACCCAGGGCUUACUCAGGGGCGAUCUGCACGGUCAAGAACGGUAUUUAUGGUUGGUAUAUUUUGGACUCUGUCCCGGAGGAUAAGCUGUGCAUCCCAAACUCAGAAAACACCCUUCUUGGUAAAUAUCAAAUUUACAGAAAUGG
Sycon ciliatum is the source of this 307-nucleotide long non-coding RNA. RefSeq lists it as uncharacterized. The record is from RefSeq and is a predicted model, not a curated record. The transcript has 3 exons. NCBI's taxonomy places the organism in Eukaryota, Metazoa, Porifera, Calcarea, Leucosolenida, Sycettidae.